CUAAGGCCGAUGGCGACCGGCGCACGGGUGAGUAACACGUAUCCAACCUGCCGUCUACUCUUGGACAGCCUUCUGAAAGGAAGAUUAAUACAAGAUGGCAUCAUGAGUCCGCAUGUUCACAUGAUUAAAGGUAUUCCGGUAGACGAUGGGGAUGCGUUCCAUUAGAUAGUAGGCGGGGUAACGGCCCACCUAGUCUUCGAUGGAUAGGGGUUCUGAGAGGAAGGUCCCCCACAUUGGAACUGAGACACGGUCCAAACUCCUACGGGAGGCAGCAGUGAGGAAUAUUGGUCAAUGGGCGAGAGCCUGAACCAGCCAAGUAGCGUGAAGGAUGACUGCCCUAUGGGUUGUAAACUUCUUUUAUAAAGGAAUAAAGUCGGGUAUGGAUACCCGUUUGCAUGUACUUUAUGAAUAAGGAUCGGCUAACUCCGUGCCAGCAGCCGCGGUAAUACGGAGGAUCCGAGCGUUAUCCGGAUUUAUUGGGUUUAAAGGGAGCGUAGAUGGAUGUUUAAGUCAGUUGUGAAAGUUUGCGGCUCAACCGUAAAAUUGCAGUUGAUACUGGAUAUCUUGAGUGCAGUUGAGGCAGGCGGAAUUCGUGGUGUAGCGGUGAAAUGCUUAGAUAUCACGAAGAACUCCGAUUGCGAAGGCAGCCUGCUAAGCUGCA
Molecule: ribosomal RNA, 661 nt
Filed under: uncultured Bacteroidales bacterium
Lineage: Bacteria; Pseudomonadati; Bacteroidota; Bacteroidia; Bacteroidales
Description: bacterial SSU rRNA
Rfam family: Bacterial small subunit ribosomal RNA
Source: RNAcentral